UAGGACUACCAUACCUGAGUGCAUAUCUUGAUUCCAUGGAUUCAGAUUUCAAACAUGGAUCAAAUUUUGCUGUUAGUGGAUCCACCAUUCAACCCGCGGAUGGAAAAUUGUUUGGUGCAGGUUUUAACCCCUUAUCUCUCAGUAUACAGCUUUCACAGUUUCAACAGUUUAGAGACCGCACCAUUGAGUUAUACAAACAAGAUAGAAAACUGUGGAGAGAAAGCCGCCUUCCAGGGCCAGAGGACUUCUCCAAGGCACUUUAUACUUUGGAUUGUGGGCAGAAUGAUCUUCAUUUUGG
This 298-nucleotide unclassified non-coding RNA is filed under the name Hevea brasiliensis (rubber tree). The record is from RNAcentral. Lineage: Eukaryota; Viridiplantae; Streptophyta; Magnoliopsida; Malpighiales; Euphorbiaceae.